RNAcentral lists this ribosomal RNA (253 nucleotides) under uncultured bacterium. RNAcentral's name for it is "partial 16S ribosomal RNA". It matches the Rfam family "Bacterial small subunit ribosomal RNA", at positions 524 to 776 of the family's 1533-position model. The record is from RNAcentral.
UACGGGGGGGGCAAGCGUUGUUCGGAAUUACUGGGCGUAAAGGGCUCGUAGGCGGCCAACUAAGUCGGACGUGAAAUCCCCAGGCUCAACCUGGGAACUGCGUCCGAUACUGGAUGGCUUGAAUUCGGGAGAGGGAUGCAGAAUUCCAGGUGUAGCGGUGAAAUGCGUAGAUAUCUGGAGGAAUACCGGUGGCGAAGGCGGCAUCCUGGACCGACAUUGACGCUGAGGCGCGAAAGCUAGGGUAGCAAACGGG